CAUUAAGAAGCUAUUUCAGCAUUAACCUUUUAAGUUAAAGACUGGGAAUUAAAAUUUUUCCCCUUAAUGA
Molecule: transfer RNA, 70 nt
Filed under: Brachyphylla cavernarum (Antillean fruit-eating bat)
Lineage: Eukaryota; Metazoa; Chordata; Mammalia; Chiroptera; Phyllostomidae
Description: transfer RNA-Lys
Source: RNAcentral